RNAcentral lists this ribosomal RNA (520 nucleotides) under uncultured Glomus. RNAcentral describes it as "SSU rRNA". It matches the Rfam family "Eukaryotic small subunit ribosomal RNA", at positions 569 to 1092 of the family's 1831-position model. Lineage: Eukaryota; Fungi; Glomeromycota; Glomeromycetes; Glomerales; Glomeraceae. The record is from RNAcentral.
AGCAGCCGCGGUAAUUCCAGCUCCAAUAGCGUAUAUUAAAGUUGUUGCAGUUAAAAAGCUCGUAGUUGAAUUUCGGGAUCAAUUUAUUGGUCGUGCUAUUGUACGUACUGGUAUUAUUGAUUCCUACCUUCUGACGAACCAUGAUGUCAUUAAUUUGGUGUCAUGGGGAAUCAGGACUGUUACUUUGAAAAAAUUAGAGUGUUUAAAGCAGGCUCACGCUUGAAUACAUUAGCAUGGAAUAACGAAAUAGGACGUUUGAUUCUAUUUUGUUGGUUUCUAGGAUCGACGUAAUGAUUAAUAGGGAUAGUUGGGGGCAUUAGUAUUCAAUUGUCAGAGGUGAAAUUCUUGGAUUUAUUGAAGACUAACUACUGCGAAAGCAUUUGCCAAGGAUGUUUUCAUUAAUCAAGAACGAAAGUUAGGGGAUCGAAGACGAUCAGAUACCGUCGUAGUCUUAACCAUAAACUAUGCCGACUAGGGAUCGGAUGAUGUUAAUUUUUAAUGACUCAUUCGGCGCCUUAAC